RNAcentral lists this transfer RNA (74 nucleotides) under Marmota monax (woodchuck). RNAcentral describes it as "tRNA.Ala". The stretch from base 11 to 67 matches the Rfam family "tRNA", at positions 8 to 63 of the family's 71-position model. From Rfam's summary of the family: Transfer RNA (tRNA) molecules are approximately 80 nucleotides in length. Their secondary structure includes four short double-helical elements and three loops (D, anti-codon, and T loops). The record is from RNAcentral. Lineage: Eukaryota; Metazoa; Chordata; Mammalia; Rodentia; Sciuridae.
GCUAGGGACAUAGCUCAGUUGGUAGAGUGCUUGCCUUGCAUGCAUAGGCCCUGGGUUCAAUCCCCAGCACAGCA